GCCAGGCAUGGUGGUGCACGCCUGUAAUCCCAGGGGCUUGGGAGGCUGAGAAAGGAGGAUCACAAGUUCAAAGCCAGCCUCAGCAACUUGGUGAGGCGCUAAGCAACUCAGUGAGAUCCUGUCUCUA
RNAcentral lists this small RNA (127 nucleotides) under Marmota monax (woodchuck). Lineage: Eukaryota; Metazoa; Chordata; Mammalia; Rodentia; Sciuridae. The record is from RNAcentral.